RNAcentral lists this non-coding RNA (231 nucleotides) under Bacillus sp. (in: firmicutes). RNAcentral's name for it is "Bacillus sp. T-box sequence". It matches the Rfam family "T-box leader". Rfam says of the family: Uncharged tRNA acts as the effector for transcription antitermination of genes in the T-box leader family. The record is from RNAcentral. Lineage: Bacteria; Bacillati; Bacillota; Bacilli; Caryophanales; Bacillaceae.
ACAUGAACGGUGAUAAGGAAUAGUAGCAGACUUUAGAUGCUCAGAGAAUUGACGGAAGGUGCGAGUCAAUCAUCUAUAGUCUGUGAACUCGCCUUUGAGUUACAGACGUCAACUGCAGUGCUGCCUGCACAGUAAUGUCUGUCGUGAUCCACGUUACGGAUGCUUAAGUGAGUGCCUUUGCUGGCGCUAAAUUGGGUGGUACCGCGGGAAAUCAAACCUCUCGUCCCUUAU